RNAcentral lists this ribosomal RNA (796 nucleotides) under uncultured bacterium. Its description in RNAcentral is "partial 16S ribosomal RNA". It matches the Rfam family "Bacterial small subunit ribosomal RNA", at positions 8 to 796 of the family's 1533-position model. The record is from RNAcentral.
AGAGUUUGAUCCUGGCUCAGAACGAACGCUGGCGGCGUGCUUAACACAUGCAAGUCGAACGUGAAAGUGGCUUCGGCCAUGAGUAAAGUGGCAGACGGGUGAGUAACACGUGGGUAACCUGCCCCUUGGCGGGGGAUAACCAUUCGAAAGGAUGGCUAAUACCGCAUAAGACCACGUCCCUGAUGGGAUGGGGUAAAAGACGAAAGUCACCGAGGGAGGGGCCCGCGGCCGAUUAGCUAGUUGGUGAGGYAAUGGCUCACCAAGGCGACGAUSGGUAGCUGGUCUGAGAGGAUGAUCAGCCACACUGGAACUGAGACACGGUCCAGACUCCUACGGGAGGCAGCAGUGGGGAAUUUUGCGCAAUGGGSGAAASCCUGAYGCAGCAACGCCGCGUGAGUGAUGAAGGCCCUUGGGUCGUAAAGYUCUGACAGAGGGAAAGAAAUGURGAGKGGCUAAUAUCCMYAYYACUUGACGGUACCCUCAAAGGAAGCACCGGCUAACUCCGUGCCAGCAGCCGCGGUAAUACGGRGGGUGCRAGCGUUGUUCGGAUUUAUUGGGCGUAAAGCGCGUGUAGGCGGUUUUWUAAGUCUGAUGUGAAAGCCCYGGGCUCAACCYGGGAAGUGCAUUGGAUACUGKAAGACUUGAAUACGGGAGAGGGCAGUGGAAUUCCUAGUGUAGGAGUGAAAUCCGUAGAUAUUAGGAGGAACACCGGUGGCGAAGGCGGCUGCCUGGACCGAUAUUGACGCUGAGACGCGAAAGCGUGGGUAGCAAACAGGAUUAGAUACCCUGGUAGUCC